This 368-nucleotide ribosomal RNA is filed under the name uncultured bacterium. Its description in RNAcentral is "bacterial SSU rRNA". It matches the Rfam family "Bacterial small subunit ribosomal RNA", at positions 438 to 793 of the family's 1533-position model. The record is from RNAcentral.
AGUAGGGAGGAAGGUAGUGUAGUUAAUACCUGCAUUAUUUGACGUUACCUACAGAAGAAGCACCGGCUAACUCCGUGCCAGCAGCCGCGGUAAUACGGAGGGUGCGAGCGUUAAUCGGAAUUACUGGGCGUAAAGCGCAUGCAGGUGGUUUGUUAAGUCAGAUGUGAAAGCCCCGGGGCUCAACCUCGGAAUUGCAUUUGAAACUGGCAGACUAGAGUACCGUAGAGGGGGUAGAAUUUCAGGUGUAGCGGUGAAAUGCGUAGAGAUCUGAAGGAAUACCGGUGGCGAAGGCCGGCCCCCUCGGACAGAUACUGACACUCAGACUGCGAAAGCGUGGGGAGCCAAACAGGAUUAGACUACCCUGGUAG